Molecule: ribosomal RNA, 500 nt
Filed under: uncultured bacterium
Lineage: Bacteria
Description: partial 16S ribosomal RNA
Rfam family: Bacterial small subunit ribosomal RNA
Source: RNAcentral
AUUGAACGCUGGCGGCAUGCCUUACACAUGCAAGUCGAACGGCAGCACGGGAGCAAUCCUGGUGGCGAGUAGCGAACGGGUGAGUAAUAUAUCGGAACGUGCCCAGUCGUGGGGGAUAACGCAGCGAAAGCUGUGCUAAUACCGCAUACGAUCUAAGGAUGAAAGCGGGGGAUCGCAAGACCUCGCGCGAUUGGAGCGGCCGAUAUCAGAUUAGCUAGUUGGUGGGGUAAAGGCCCACCAAGGCGACGAUCUGUAGCUGGUCUGGGAGGACGACCAGCCACACUGGAACGGAGCAACGGACCAGACUCCUACGGGAGGCAGCAGUGGGGAAUUUUGGACAAUGGGCGCAAGCCUGAUCCAGCAAGGCCGCGUGCAGGAUGAAGGCCUUCGGGUUGUAAACUGCUUUUGUACGGAACGAAACGGCCCUUUCUAAUACAGGGGGCUAAUGACGGUACCGUAAGAAUAAGCACCGGCUAACUACGUGCCAGCAGCCGCCGUAA